UACGAGGGGGGCAAGCGUUGUUCGGAAUUAUUGGGCGUAAAGGGCGCGUAGGCGGUGCGGUAAGUCACCUGUGAAACCUCUAGGCUUAACCUAGAGCCUGCAGGCGAAACUGCCGUGCUUGAGGGUGGGAGAGGUGCGUGGAAUUCCCGGUGUAGCGGUGAAAUGCGCAGAUAUCAGGAAGAACACCCGUGGCGAAAGCGGCUCUCUGGAACGGUACUGACGCUGAGACGCGAAAGCGUGGGGGAGCGAACAGG
This 254-nucleotide ribosomal RNA is filed under the name uncultured bacterium. RNAcentral's name for it is "partial 16S ribosomal RNA". It matches the Rfam family "Bacterial small subunit ribosomal RNA", at positions 524 to 776 of the family's 1533-position model. The record is from RNAcentral.